GACGAACGCUGGCGGCAUGCCUAAUACAUGCAAGUCGAGCGGGAGUUCUUUUGGAAGCUUGCUUUCAAAAGAACUUAGCGGCGGACGGGUGAGUAACACGUAGGCAACCUACCCUUUAGGCUGGGAUAACUACCGGAAACGGUAGCUAAUACCGGAUAAUUCCUGUUCUCACCUGAGAAAAGGAUGAAAGGCGGAGCAAUCUGUCACUAAGGGAUGGGCCUGCGGCGCAUUAGCUAGUUGGUGAGGUAACGGCUCACCAAGGCGACGAUGCGUAGCCGACCUGAGAGGGUGAACGGCCACACUGGGACUGAGACACGGCCCAGACUCCUACGGGAGGCAGCAGU
RNAcentral lists this ribosomal RNA (344 nucleotides) under uncultured Paenibacillus sp. RNAcentral's name for it is "bacterial SSU rRNA". It matches the Rfam family "Bacterial small subunit ribosomal RNA", at positions 28 to 355 of the family's 1533-position model. Lineage: Bacteria; Bacillati; Bacillota; Bacilli; Caryophanales; Paenibacillaceae. The record is from RNAcentral.